Molecule: ribosomal RNA, 236 nt
Filed under: uncultured bacterium
Lineage: Bacteria
Description: partial 16S ribosomal RNA
Rfam family: Bacterial small subunit ribosomal RNA
Source: RNAcentral
CGGGACGGGUGAGUAACGCGUGGAUAACCUGCCUCACACUGGGGGAUAACAGUUAGAAAUGGCUGCUAAUACCGCAUAAGCGCACAGUACCGCAUGGUACGGUGUGAAAAACCCAGGUGGUGUGAGAUGGAUCCGCGUCUGAUUAGCCAGUUGGCGGGGUAACGGCCCACCAAAGCGACGAUCAGUAGCCGACCUGAGAGGGUGACCGGCCACACUGGGACUGAGACACGGCCCAA